Molecule: long non-coding RNA, 1147 nt
Organism: Myzus persicae (green peach aphid)
Lineage: Eukaryota; Metazoa; Arthropoda; Insecta; Hemiptera; Aphididae
Exons: 3
Source: RefSeq, a predicted model, not a curated record
UUAUCACAGAUAUACUUAUAUGAAUUAUGAUUGUUCACCAAUACAUUUUGAAUAAUAUUGUUGUUUUUAACGUUUUGUUUUAUGUUUUAAACUCAAAUUUAAAAAAUUAAAACAGUGGGUAGUUAAGAUUUUAAGAUGGUGAAUCUUUGUUUUUGUUUCAAUUGUGCUAGUUCUAGUGUCCUAGUGAUUUUAGAAAAGACUUGUCAUUUCACAAGAAAAAUAUCUGGCUGAAAACUACUUGAAGGAAAUUUUGGCCAUUAAGAAUAACAAAAAUGUAUUGAAGAUUUUGUUUAUUGGAUAUUUCCUAGAUUAUAAAUCCGCAGUAUUAAGUUAAGUUAGGAGAGUAGUAAGUAUAGUUAAGGUAAGUAGUAAUCAGUAGAUACAGCUUCGGGUAAAUAGUGUUAUGAAUAACAUUAUCCACAAGAAAAGCAUGUUUCGACUUGUUACAUUAUUUUAAAUUAUAAUUAUCUACUAAUAAACUAUUUAUUUAUGGUUUAACUAUUCAUAUUUUAUAAAAUUAUUCAAAAAUAUUUUGUGGAAAUUUAAAAAAAAAAAUAAAGAAAUACAAAAUUUUAAGAACCUAACUAAAAUAAUAACGCGGUAAAUGAAAAUACGAUAUUAACGCCAUGUGCAAGACAAGAUAGUAACACCAUUGGUAUGUGCCAUCUCGUUCUAACAUUCUCUUUCGAGCAACACUGCUUGGUGAGCAUUCCAGUUAUCAUAUUAUAGAGUUCAAUGGUCAUUAUAAAAUAUAUGAAUAGGGAAUUGUAGGGAUGGCGAUUAGCAAUACCUAGUGAUAAAAGUAUUAAUAAAUUCGAACACGGUUCUGGUUAUGGAACUAAACGGGCCAAACGUUGGAUAAUGGCGUUUGCAUUUAACUUCGUUUAGCAAACUGCAAACAGACCGUCCGAUUUUCUCCGUUAUCAAACGUUUGCCACGUUUUCCGCUACAGAAUUUCCUCGUAAUACGCACCACCAUAGAUUUAAACAAUUUUACGACGCUCUCCAAAUAUUCUAUUUCGAUGUCUACAGCUACAGAAUCAGCCGCGGUUUUACCAGUCAUAUAGACCAGCGGUUCCCAAACUUUUACGACCACGGCACCCUUAUAUAAUUGUUUGUGUUUCGCGAAACCCUAAUGUCUAAUCCAA